This 439-nucleotide ribosomal RNA is filed under the name uncultured SAR116 cluster alpha proteobacterium. Its description in RNAcentral is "bacterial SSU rRNA". It matches the Rfam family "Bacterial small subunit ribosomal RNA", at positions 40 to 525 of the family's 1533-position model. The record is from RNAcentral. Lineage: Bacteria; Pseudomonadati; Pseudomonadota; Alphaproteobacteria; Puniceispirillales (SeqCode).
CGGCAUGCCUAACACAUGCAAGUCGAACGAGAUCUUCGGAUCUAGUGGCGCACGGGUGAGUAACGCGUGGGAACCUACCUUUUAGUACGGGACAACGUUUGGAAACGAACGCUAAUACCGUAUACGCCCUCCGGGGGAAAGGUCAGCCGCUGAAAGAGGGGCCCGCGUCUGAUUAGCUUGUUGGUAAGGUAAUGGCUUACCAAGGCUUCGAUCAGUAGCUGGUCUGAGAGGAUGAUCAGCCACACUGGGACUGAGACACGGCCCAGACUCCUACGGGAGGCAGCAGUGGGGAAUAUUGGACAAUGGAGGCAACUCUGAUCCAGCAAUGCCGCGUGUGUGAUGAAGGCCUUAGGGUUGUAAAGCACUUUCAACGGUGAAGAUGAUGACGGUAGCCGUAGAAGAAGCCCCGGCUAACUUCGUGCCAGCAGCCGCGGUAAUA